AGCGAACGCUGGCGGCAGGCCUAACACAUGCAAGUCGAACGAACUCUUCCGAGUUAGUGGCGGACGGGUGAGUAACACGUGGGAAAGCGCCCUUUGGUGCGGAAUAACUCAGGGAAACUUGUGCUAAUACCGCAUGUGCCCUUCGGGGGAAAGAUUUAUCGCCAUUAGAGCGGCCCGCGUCUGUUUAGCUAGUUGGUGAGGUAACGGCUCACCAAGGCGACGAUCAGUAGCUGGUCUGAGAGGAUGACCAGCCACACUGGGACUGAGACACGGCCCAGACUCCUACGGGAGGCAGCAGUGGGGAAUCUUGCGCAAUGGGCGAAAGCCUGACGCAGCCAUGCCGCGUGAAUGAUGAAGGUCUUAGGAUUGUAAAGUUCUUUCGCCGGGGACGAUAAUGACGGUACCCGGAGAAGAAGCCCCGGCUAACUUCGUG
Molecule: ribosomal RNA, 433 nt
Filed under: uncultured bacterium
Lineage: Bacteria
Description: partial 16S ribosomal RNA
Rfam family: Bacterial small subunit ribosomal RNA
Source: RNAcentral